This is a long non-coding RNA of Elaeis guineensis (African oil palm), 1951 nucleotides long. RefSeq lists it as uncharacterized. NCBI's taxonomy places the organism in Eukaryota, Viridiplantae, Streptophyta, Magnoliopsida, Arecales, Arecaceae. The record is from RefSeq and is a predicted model, not a curated record.
GAGAGAGAGAGAGGAGGGAUUCCGUUGGGGCCAAGAAACCCUAGAUAAAUAGACGGAUGGAGGGUCCGAGAGCGGCAUGGGACGAGACUGGGACUGGGGGAGUGGAUGGGGCCUCUCCGGCUCCUCCUGCUUCCUCUCUAUUCUAUGUAAGGAAGGUUAGGGGAGAGAAGUUUAGAAAAAAGAGAGAUCAGAUCCAAGUCUGACGAUGUUUCCAACCCCACCUCUCUCUCCUUUUUCUCGCUUCAGCCUUUGUUUCUUCCUUCGAUCUGGCUCUUUUCUUGAAAUGGAAAUCAUGAGAUUUUCGGUGCAGAUAUAGGGGAUUCCGUCGGUCUUCCAAUUUUCUUGCUUUUUUUUGCCUCUCUCUCUCUCUCUGUCUGUCUAUCUAAAGGCGUGUGGAGGGUGGUGGGGUUGGGGGGCUGACAGAAGAGAGUGAGCACACAGCGAGGCAAUUGCAUCAGGGAAUGCCGUUCCGGUUGCGUGCUCGCUUCUCUUUCUGUCAACCUUUCUCUCCUGGAACCGAUCUACCUACUAUCUCCACCGUCUUUGCUUCUUUUGUUUUUAUUUUUCUUUUCUUGGAACGGGAAUGGGUGGUCUCACGAUAUUUGAUGGGAAAGAAGACCACGCGUGCAGUCUUUCCUCAAACUCUGAUCCCGUUCCCCCUUCUGAUGUGAUAUGUUGAUGAUAACUCUCUCACCCUCUCCCCAUUUGUCGCCUGUCCGACUCCGAGACGUCUUCUCAGGCUCGCUUCUCUAUGGAUGGCGGGAUUCCGAGGAACCGAUGCAUGGUGAUUGGGUGGGAGAUUGUAGAGGAGAAUUGGAGCAAGGUGGGGAAAGAAUUAGGCGUACUGCACGGAUCGGAUUAGGGUGAGCACCCUCUGAUUCAAAAGGAAAAUCGCUGGCUGUUUGACCGGUCGUUUCUCUUCUUAUUUUCUUUUUCUUUUUCCUCUUCUUGUCCUUCUCUUUCUCUGAUCUUUUACUAUCUUUGGCGAGGAUUGGCGAUCUUGAAACCCAGUCUCGAAAAGAUCUCGCAGUUGCUUGACUGAAAUUAUCAUCUCAUGCGUUUCUCGGUUUAUUGCGUAAAGAAGAAAGAGGAGUUUGGGAUCGAUGAUGAUCUUGACUUGUCUUGUGCUGUUUUAAGAGGAAUGAAAGGGAGCCGCAGUGGGACUUCGACUGCUUCUUGAAGCAACGGACUCGAUCCGAGUUUCCAUAUCCGGUUGGUGGUUCAUUUUUUGGAUCAUGCCAGGAAGACAUGCGAUGCUCCAGCUGCGGCUGCGGCUGUCAGGGUUGCUUAUAUGUGUGAAGUGGAUUGAGAAGCAAAAGAAAGUGUAUUAUUUUUAUUACAUGAUAUUUCCCCGGACUAUAAGAAUUAUGCAUUACUGGGUCUACCAACAAGGAUAUAGGGGCGUGCAUAGUUGAUAAAGUUGCUCAAUAAAUCUGAUUGGAACUAAAGAUAUGCUCCAACAAUUUUCCUAGAGGACAGGAUAUUAAGAAUUUUUUUUUUAAAUUUUGUUCAUCACAUUUAUCUAUCUGCAAACUUGAAACAAGAUUCAUAUGCUUUCAUUUAAUCGAUCUAUCUACACUUGCAAUCGUUUCUUUUUGGUAUUUUGUUGGACACGGUUGAAGAUGCCCACUGAGAUACUCGUGGGAACCCCAAUCCAAUCAAUGUACUUGUGGUGGCUGUAAAAAUAGAAUCUGUUGUCAGUCCCAUUCAGCAGUUACCUACUGUAGCUGCUUUAAAAGAGCUUUAAUUGGCCACCUUUAUUAAACUAGAUAUUAUAAGUUCUUUUUCAACAGUGUGUGUGAAUCAAAAGAGGUAACUAGUGAUGCUCGUAAGUUGUGUUUGUUGUUCCCAGUCUGUCUCCUCAUAUAUAUAUAUGUUUUUUAAAGUUAUGACUUAAUGCAAAACAAAUCAUGCACUAUAAUUAUUUUUAUCAACACUAAAACAAGCUUGG